CUGUGCUUUCAGCUUCUUUACAGUGCUGCCUUGUUGCGUUCAUGUCAAGCAGCAUUGUACAGGGCUAUGAAAGAGCAG
Molecule: microRNA precursor, 78 nt
Filed under: Upupa epops (Eurasian hoopoe)
Lineage: Eukaryota; Metazoa; Chordata; Aves; Bucerotiformes; Upupidae
Also listed under: 2 other names
Description: mir-103/107 microRNA precursor family
Rfam family: mir-103/107 microRNA precursor family
About the family: This family consists of the mammalian microRNA (miRNA) precursors mir-103 and mir107. Animal miRNAs are transcribed as ~70nt precursors and subsequently processed by the Dicer enzyme to give a ~22nt product.
Source: Rfam by way of RNAcentral